UUCAUGACCCGUAUCUUCCUCUGCAACACAUAACCCUAGCUGCGCCUCCACCUAAUUCUUUCUUCUUCUCUUUUUUCUUCCUUUCUAUCUGGAGAGUACUCUAUUUGAGAAGCGAUGGCUACAACUGUUUCGCUUCUGAGGUUUUAAGCCUUCGAUCAGUUAACCCUUUUUCGAUUCUAUCAUAUUUUCAGUUAAUUUUGGCAGCGAGAAUUUAGAAGCUGAAGAUGACUACCAUUGAUUUUGUUGAUGGAUGUGGAGCUUACGAUGGGUUAUAGACUUCUCCGGAAAAAUGGGUUUAAUUUCGAUUGAAUAACAAGGAAAACAGACAGAGUUUCACGAUUAUUAUGAGAGUUCCUGAAAUGGUGAAGAAGAAGACUGAUACGCUUUCAACAAGGUAUAAAAAUCAACAAACCCAAACAAAACUCUUUUUUUGUUGUUGUUAUAGAUGUUACUAUUUGUUCUCAAUGCAAAUUCGGGAUUUCAAAUUUGUGGAUUUUGAUUUUGAACUUUGGGUUCUCAAUUUGGGGAUUAAAAUGCGAAAUUAGGUUUUCGUAACAACCAGGGGCAGAGGGAUUCUGGAAAGGUCUUUAUGCUUACAAUUUUGAUUUUGUUUAAAUUUCUUUCAAAGUGUAUGUUUAAAUACUUAAAUGAAUGAUUUGGUUGGAUUUGAGAACGGAAAAGUCUUUCCUUAAAUGAAUGUGAUGUACCAUCUGGGGUUUACUUGGUUAGUGUUCUGAUAAUUUAUAGUGUUUUGAUGAUUUAUGACUAAUCUGAUAAUUUCUGGAUAUCACAAUCAAUAUCAAAGGGUUGACGUCUAAACAUGGGGCUUGCCCUUACGGAUAGUGAACCUCAUAACACCUACCCGCAUCUCCGUUGUUUUACCAAAUAAUAGAAGAGAAUGGUCGUCGUCCAGUCUCAGCUAACUUUCAUGUAUGAGUGGCUCAGUUUUUAUUUUGUUUUCAUCUAUUGAUGUUAAAAAGCUAAAGACAUGUUUAAGAACACAGCCAGUAGAUGUGGUUUGAUUUUUCAUGUUUGUCCAGCGAAUAUAUUGAUAACGGGUGGGUUAUCUUCAUGUUUCUUUGUAUGCUUUUUUGAUUUUUGUAACUUAGAAAUGAAAUUUUCACUAUACAAUAGUUAAGUAAAUGUGGUACGAGGAAAUGUAUGAAAACAUAAUAGAGAUAUACAAUAUAUUCUCUAAUAAUAACAGUUGCCCAUUAGGAUGAAGUGGGCAUACAUUUGCAAAUUGUGUGCAUGUAGGUCAGGUAGGUAAGACAGCUUAACCAUCCUAUCAAGGUUGGAAUUGUGGAGAGGAGUAUAUAUGGUCCUCUUUCAAGAAUAGAGGUACGCCAUUCUCUUGCCUGCAUUGCAAAAUACAAUUGGGCACCGAUUGAAAUUUUCAUUUGACGGGGUCUGUGUGCUUUUGAUCUCAAAAGGCACAUAGGCAUUCAGCAGGUACCAUCUUUCAUCACAUGUUGCAACUUUUUAAUGGAAACACUAUGUUUUUUAUUUUGUGAGUUAGCGGGUUUACUUCUUUUUUGACUUCUUAAAUAUGUGAACUCUUAUUUUCUCCACUGCCAAGUCGCGGACUCAUCUCAUCUCGCCUCAAACAGUCGGCAUAGGAAUUGACAUCCAUUUCCCUGUUUCUCUUUGUAUAACAGUGUGUUUGAAGUAUUAGGUACUGAAUCACAUACCUUCAUCUGAGAAUCUGAUGUCUGAGAAGGUGAAGCUAAAGGAACUACUGAUCAAAUUGGCACAACCUAUUUUUCUGCAAAGUUGAGUCCUGGUAUUGGAUAUUCAUGAAGAUCUGGAUUAUAUGGUAUCACAUUGGUUUUAGAUUGUUUGAGCAAUAAGUCUUCGUGAGCAGUGAAUUAAAGAUGCGAAAAAGAAAGAAGUGGAUGGGAGAGGUGUGGUAGCGCUGUGGUAUCCGGUCAACCUGGUGAUGCUCUAAAACUAAAGUCUGAAGCACUUGGAAUUUUGAGAGAGGAAAUAUGCUAUUGAAGUUAAUGCCAGAUCAAGCCUUGAAUUUGCUCAAUGCUUUUAUUCUUUUUGCAUUUGAUAAAGAUCUUACUCAUCCAAUUGAUUGUGUUCUGUGUUAUUGGUUGCAUAGAUUAACAUUGCAGUGGACAUUUGAUUCCAACAGGAACUUACUGUGCUCUUCUUCUUUUUAUUUUUUUUCUGGUGACUUGAUAUCUCUUAUUCA
Papaver somniferum (opium poppy) is the source of this 2200-nucleotide long non-coding RNA. RefSeq lists it as uncharacterized. Lineage: Eukaryota; Viridiplantae; Streptophyta; Magnoliopsida; Ranunculales; Papaveraceae. The record is from RefSeq and is a predicted model, not a curated record. The transcript is spliced from 2 exons.